AUGGACGAAAGUCUGACGGAGCAACGCCGCGUGAGUGAAGAAGGUUUUCGGAUCGUAAAACUCUGUUUUCAGGGACGAAUGUGCGAUAUGUGAAUAAUGUGUUGUAAUGACGGUACCUGACAAGAAAGCCACGGCUAACUACGUGCCAGCAGCCGCGGUAAUACGUAGGUGGCAAGCGUUGUCCGGAAUUAUUGGGCGUAAAGCGCGCGCAGGUGGGAUAAUAAGUCUGAUGUUAAAGUUCGGGGCUCAACCCCGUGAAGCAUUUGGAUACUGUUAUUCUUGAGUGCAGGAGAGGAAAGUGGAAUUCCUAGUGUAGCGGUGAAAUGCGUAGAUAUUAGGAGGAACACCAGUGGCGAAGGCGACUUUCUGGACUGUGUCUGACACUGAGGCGCGAAAGCCAGGGUAGUGAACGGGAUUAGAUACCCCGGUAAUCCUGGCCGUAAACGAUGGGUACUAGGUGUUGGGGGUAUCGACCCCUCCAGUGCCGGAGUUAACGCAAUAAGUACCCCGCCUGGGGAGUAC
RNAcentral lists this ribosomal RNA (522 nucleotides) under uncultured bacterium. Its description in RNAcentral is "bacterial SSU rRNA". It matches the Rfam family "Bacterial small subunit ribosomal RNA", at positions 371 to 883 of the family's 1533-position model. The record is from RNAcentral.